This 428-nucleotide long non-coding RNA is filed under the name Mustela putorius furo (domestic ferret). Its description in RNAcentral is "lncRNA (ENSMPUG00000028037.1)". The record is from RNAcentral. Lineage: Eukaryota; Metazoa; Chordata; Mammalia; Carnivora; Mustelidae.
UUCACCACUAGCUUUGCUUAAAUAGCCUUCAUUGAGUGCCCUGAGCCCCCAGGUGGCAGUUGAAAUCCUCAGAAAACACUGCAUUUUAUUGUGGUGGUGUCGCACCAGAGAGGGCAGCUGGAAGCACUUUGUCAGUGGAAAUUCAAGAAAGAGAAUCCAUGACUUUUCAAGGCUUACGUUGAACACAAUGUCAAAUAGAGGUCUGACCUCUCGCCACUGUUGCUAGCCCAGGAUCCUGCCCGAUAUCUUGCUGGGUUCCCUGACUCUGCCCAUAUCUCUGUACAUAACGUCCUCAUGAAACUCUCCACGGAUGACCCUGUUUGGCUGCGCCAUCUGUCUCUUGCCUGACACCUGACCGACUCCUGUCCAGCAUGGUGCUUAAUACACAGCAAGACACUCAAUAAAGGCUUUUAAAAAUCAGUGAGAAA